This is a long non-coding RNA of Sinocyclocheilus anshuiensis, 292 nucleotides long. RefSeq lists it as uncharacterized. The record is from RefSeq and is a predicted model, not a curated record. The transcript has 3 exons. Lineage: Eukaryota; Metazoa; Chordata; Actinopteri; Cypriniformes; Cyprinidae.
AGAAGUGAAACGUUCAUAUAAAUGAGCAUUCAGACGCCAUAGUAACACGGUUUACUUAUACAUUACUUAAAUAAAAAAGAAAGUCAGACCAGUUCGGAACAACGUGACGGAUUUGGACCAUCAGCGGACAUGCCUGGAGGAGGAAAGUAGCUGUCUGCGAGCCAAGAUCCAGGAGCUGAAAACUGACAUUAGACCCCUCACAUAAGUGAUCCAUCGCACUCAACACAUGCUCGGCCUGGAUGUGAGUCACAUGCCUAUAUUCCCUUGCCUCGUUCUCUCGUUCACUCACUCG